UGAUGUGUAUAGUUUUGGGGUGAUUUUGUUAGAGAUAUUGACAGGGAAAAUGCCAAGUGGGGAGGGAGAAACAAGUUUAGUGAGAUGGGUUCAGAGAGUUAGGCGAGAAGAGUGGACUUGGGAGGUGUUUGAUUUUGAGUUGUAUAGUUGUAAGGAGAUGGAAGAAGAGAUGGUGGCGCUUAUGCAAGUAGCUUUACUAUGCUUAGCUCCAUUACCCAGAGAUCGUCCAAAGAUGAGUAUGGUUCUUAGGAUGAUUGAAGAUAUUAGGACUAAGGGUGCAAGAGAAGGUGGCACCCCAAAUUCCAUUCUUAAUGAUCUCUCUUCCGAGUCAUCUCCUCCUCUAUCAGAAAACACCAAUAACAUCAGUAGCAGUUGACUAAAAAAUGGAACAUGGUCUUGGAGAGCAAUAUUGUUCUUGGAAUAUCUAAAUCUGUUCACAAUCACACUAUGGAUGUAGUCGUGGGACGCAGGCUGCUGCUGAUCAUUUGUUGUAGAGGCAGGAGAUUGGUUGCAGCAGCACCACCACCCAGCAACGAAAAUCUAACCUACUGCCGUAGAAAGGUUGAUAUAUUUAUUUGCUUGGUUGUCUUUAGACAGGAUUUAGGUUUAAUAUUUAUCAUUAGUUUCAUAACCUAAAAUGUUGAUAAAUUGCCAAUGAUCAGAAAUUAAAAAGCUUCUGAUUUGGCCCCAUCUGAACUGAAUCAUUGUUGUUUUGGCAACAUACGUUCUAUUAACUGCCCAAAAACAAAGAUCAAUUGAAUGAGAUAUCUAUGAAGAUGAAGACAAGAACAAAAAUGGAGUCCACAUGAUCACAUGGUUAUUCAAGGGGAGCUAGUUUCUCCAACCAGGUAAUCUAAAUAGGCUGGCAUAGGGGUCCAAUGCCACCCAAGGUGCCCUUGAAUUGAGGGGGGUUGUCCAUUAAAAUCCUUCACAUGGUUAGCAUUUGUUUGGCAGCUCCUCCUAAAGAUUCAAGGUCUAUGGAAAUUGUUUCAGCAUAAAUGCUUGUAUCAACAAUUCUGCAACCAUUGAAUGCGACCUAAUGUCCAAUAUUUUCUUAAAUUCCUCUUUACUCUUCACCAACCAAUCUUUCAAAUAAUCCUCCAAUAACUAAUUCUGAUAAUAAUAAUAAUAAUCUAGAAAACCAUCAAUCAAUUGUAUCAAAACAAUCAUUUGCUUUAUUUGGGGUAAUUCGGAUACUAUAAAAAAAUUUCUCUUGUAGAAUGGCAUGAAGUGCAUCAACCCAAACCAAGGGCGAUGGAGAUUAGGGUUUCGAGUCAUACGAACUACUAAACGUGCAUUUUUUGUAAAGCUUGGUUGAGGGUUGAUUGAGGACAUGCAUGUAUGUUGCUCUAAUUAUAAGCUUGUCCUUGUUUUUCUUCCUGAAGAUAUGUUGUUGGCAAUGCAUAGCUGCAUUAAUCCUGUUUUUCUUCCUGAAGAUAUGUUGUUGGCAAUGCAUAGCUGCAUUAAUCCCUCCUCCCUCUGAUGACAUUGGUUCUGAUAGCAUUUAAUGAUAUGGUCCCAAGACUCUGUUUUCUCUUAAAUCUGCUUAUGCUUCAUUAGUAUCUGAUGAUUGGAAAAUGAGUAAUCCCUUGUGGAAACUGAUCUGGAGUUGACAGCGUUUGCAGAGAAUUCGUUUGUUUGUUUGGCUUGUUAUUCGUGCAUGACAGGUGGCUUAUUAAUUGUGAAAGAGUAAGGUGGUACUUGGCUGUCUCUUAUUUAUUCUAGUUGAUGCCAUACUAUUUAUGCUUAGUAUUUAAUUGACUAAUUUAACAAUUAUUUUUAUUUAAAAUUAUUAUAUAAAUAAUUAAUUAUUAAUUAUUAAUAAUUCAGUUAAAAAAAUUUUAGUAUUAACUAAAAAAAAAUAAUAUAUUUAAAUUACAAUUUUGCAUCAUCUAAUUAAAAUUUUGAUUGUAAAAGGUAAUGAAAAACAAUUAGGUUCCAUAGAUUAGAAUUAAUCCAAUUUGGCUUUAUUUUUUAAGGAAUAUAUAAAAUGGUGCUUGCGUUCAAGUUCUAAUUAAGAUUUGUUUCCUUAAUAAUUACGAAUGUAUAACAGCAUUUUUUUUUCCAUAAUGCUAAUGCUAUUUUGUUUUUUAAUGGUUGAUUACAUGGAAUAUCCAUGCUCUGAUGGGGGAAUUUGAUUCGUUCUGCUUCAGAUCCUAAUGGUAAGACGUCGUUUCUUGUUUUUGAACCUUUCUAUAUGCUUCCUUGUGAUACAAUAAAAUCAAUGCAAAAAUUAAUAAUUUACAAUUUCUACGUUGAUUUUGACCAUUAAACUAGAAAAAUAAAAGAACAGAAAAUUCUUUUAUUUGACAAAUUCCAAUGUUUUGAAGCUGACCAUAUGGAUUGAAUCUGCAUAAACGUGUAGGUCCAUUGUAUUACAAGGGCUGG
Molecule: unclassified non-coding RNA, 2388 nt
Filed under: Hevea brasiliensis (rubber tree)
Lineage: Eukaryota; Viridiplantae; Streptophyta; Magnoliopsida; Malpighiales; Euphorbiaceae
Source: RNAcentral